This 468-nucleotide ribosomal RNA is filed under the name uncultured bacterium. Its description in RNAcentral is "partial 16S ribosomal RNA". It matches the Rfam family "Bacterial small subunit ribosomal RNA", at positions 28 to 507 of the family's 1533-position model. The record is from RNAcentral.
GACGAACGCUGGCGGCGUGCUUAACACAUGCAAGUCGAACGGAAAGGCCCUGCUUUUGUGGGGUGCUCGAGUGGCGAACGGGUGAGUAACACGUGAGUAGCCUGCCCUUGACUUUGGGAUAACUUCAGGAAACUGGGGCUAAUACCGGAUAGGAGCUCCUGAUGCAUGGGGGGGGUUGGAAAGUUUCGGCCGUUGGGGAUGGACUCGCGGCUUAUCAGCUUGUUGGGUGGGUAGUGGCUUACCAAGGCUUUGACGGGUAGCCGGCCUGAGAGGGUGACCGGGCACAUUGGGCCUGAGAUACGGCCCAGAGGCCUACGGGAGGCAGCAGUGGGGAAUAUUGCACAAUGGGCGGAAGCCUGAUGCAGCAACGCCGCGUGCGGGAUGACGGCCUUCGGGUUGUAAACCGCUUUCGCCUGUGACGAAGCGUGAGUGACGGUAAUGGGUAAAGAAGCACCGGCUAACUACGUG